RNAcentral lists this ribosomal RNA (451 nucleotides) under uncultured Parcubacteria group bacterium. Its description in RNAcentral is "bacterial SSU rRNA". It matches the Rfam family "Bacterial small subunit ribosomal RNA", at positions 355 to 822 of the family's 1533-position model. The record is from RNAcentral.
UCGAGAAUAUUCCACAAUGGACGAAAGUCUGAUGGAGCGACGCCGCGUGCAGGAUGAAGGCUUUAGGGUCGUAAACUGCUUUUAUUGAGGAACAAUUUUUGAGCGUACUCAAUGAAUAAGGGGUUACUAACUCUGUGCCAGCAGUAGCGGUAAUACAGAGACCCCAAGCGUUAUCCGGAUUUAUUGGGCGUAAAGCGCAUGUAGGCGGAUAUACUAGUCAGAUGUCAAAUCUCUGAGCUUAACUCGGAAACUGCAUUUGAAACGGUAUAUCUAGAGAAGGUGAGAGACCAGUGGAAUUCAUGGUGUAGUAGUGAAAUGCGUUGAUAUCAUGAGGAACACCUAAUGCGAAGGCAUCUGGUUGGCACCUUUCUGACGCUGAGAUGCGAAAGCGUGGGGAGCGGAAGGGAUUAGAUACCCCGUAGUCCACGCCGUAAACAAUGCAUACUAGAUG